UAUCCUACGGGACGCAGCAGUAGGGAAUCUUCGGCAAUGGGGGGAACCCUGAUGCAGCAACGCCGCGUGAGUGAUGACGGCCUUCGGGUUGUAAAGCUCUGUCUUCAGGGACGAUAAUGACGGUACCUGAGGAGGAAGCCACGGCUAACUACGUGCCAGCAGCCGCGGUAAUACGUAGGUGGCGAGCGUUGUCCGGAUUUACUGGGCGUAAAGGGAGCGUAGGCGGACUUUUAAGUGAGAUGUGAAAUACUCGGGCUCAACUUGAGUGCUGCAUUUCAAACUGGAAGUCUAGAGUGCAGGAGAGG
Molecule: ribosomal RNA, 305 nt
Filed under: uncultured bacterium
Lineage: Bacteria
Description: bacterial SSU rRNA
Rfam family: Bacterial small subunit ribosomal RNA
Source: RNAcentral